This 306-nucleotide unclassified non-coding RNA is filed under the name Hevea brasiliensis (rubber tree). Lineage: Eukaryota; Viridiplantae; Streptophyta; Magnoliopsida; Malpighiales; Euphorbiaceae. The record is from RNAcentral.
AGACGAUUCAACAGGCGAAAGAAAACAAAAAUUAAAGAAAAUUAGAUUGACUAUAAAAUUAUGCAUUCCUAGCAAAGAAUUAGUUGAAAAAAUCACAGAUUAAUGGAAGCGGUGAUGGUUGAUGCCAAGUGAUUGCACUAGAUCUCGUUAUAUUUUUAGCCUUUGGGUAUGCAACCGUUGGAUGGGUGCAAGGUUGGUGCCGCCGAUUAGUGUUAACGAAGAUGAUCGAGUAUUUAGUCGCAAGUGAAGUAGAGAGGUGGCUGCCACUGGGAGAGUGCAAAUUGAGGGCUUUGUUAAAGAAGAGAG